GGUCAAGCGAAUAAGCGCACACGGUGGAUGCCUAGGCGGUCAGAGGCGAUGAAGGACGUGGUAGCCUGCGAAAAGUGUCGGGGAGCUGGCAACAAGCUUUGAUCCGGCAAUAUCCGAAUGGGGAAACCCACUGCUUCGGCAGUAUCCUGCAGUGAAUUCAUAGCUGCUGGAAGCGAACCCGGUGAACUGAAAUAUCUAAGUAACCGGAGGAAAAGAAAUCAACCGAGAUUCCCUAAGUAGUGACGAGCGAACGGGGAACAGCCCUUAAGCUGGAAUGGCUUUAGAAAAACAAUCUGGAAAGAUUGGCCAUAGAAGGUGAUAGCCCUGUAUUUAAAAGGGCCACUCCAGUGAAGACGAGUAGGGCGGGGCACGUGAAACCCUGUCUGAAUAUGGGGGGACCAUCCUCCAAGGCUAAAUACUCCUGACCGACCGAUAGUGAACCAGUACCGUGAGGGAAAGGCGAAAAGAACCCCGGAGAGGGGAGUGAAAUAGAUCCUGAAACCGUGUGCGUACAAGCAGUAGGAGCUCGCAAGAGUGACUGCGUACCUUUUGUAUAAUGGGUCAGCGACUUACUGUUCGUGGCAAGCUUAACCGUAUAGGGGAGGCGAAGGGAAACCGAGUCUGAUAAGGGCGCAUAGUCGCGGGCAGUAGACCCGAAACCGGGUGAUCUAGUCAUGGCCAGGGUGAAGGUGCCGUAACAGGUACUGGAGGCCCGAACCCACGUCUGUUGCAAAAGACGGGGAUGAGCUGUGAUUAGGAGUGAAAAGCUAAUCGAACCCGGAGAUAGCUGGUUCUCCUCGAAAGCUAUUUAGGUAGCGCCUCGGACGAAUACUACUGGGGGUAGAGCACUGUUAUGGCUAGGGGGUCAUCGCGACUUACCAAACCAUUGCAAACUCCGAAUACCAGUACGUACUAUCCGGGAGACACACGGCGGGUGCUAACGUCCGUCGUGAAAAGGGAAACAACCCAGACCCACAGCUAAGGUCCCAAAUUCACUGCUAAGUGGAAAACGAUGUGGAAAGGCAUAGACAGCCAGGAGGUUGGCUUAGAAGCAGCCACCCUUUAAAGAAAGCGUAAUAGCUCACUGGUCGAGUCGGUCUGCGCGGAAGAUUUAACGGGGCUAAGCAGUGAACCGAAGCUUGGGGUGCGUAAAACUUCGGUUUUAUGCGCGGUAGAGGAGCGUUCCGUAAGCCUGCGAAGGUGGAUUGAGAAGUCCGCUGGAGGUAUCGGAAGUGCGAAUGCUGACAUGAGUAACGAUAAUGCGGGUGAAAAGCCCGCACGCCGAAAGCCCAAGGUUUCCUUGCGCAACGUUAAUCGACGCAGGGUUAGUCGGUCCCUAAGGCGAGGGCGAAAGCCGUAGUCGAUGGGAAGCAGGUUAAUAUUCCUGCACCUCGCGUGAGUGCGAUGGAGGGACGGAGAAGGUUAGGUGUACCGGGCGUUGGUUGUCCCGGGGAAAGGCGGUAGGUUUGGAUCUUUGGCAAAUCCGGGAUCCUUUAAGACCGAGCACCGAGACGAGCCUUUAUGGCAAAGUCACUGAUACCACGCUUCCAGGAAAAGCUCCUAAGCUUCAGCUCACGAAGACCGUACCGUAAACCGACACAGGUGGGUAGGAUGAGAAUUCUCAGGCGCUUGAGAGAACUCGGGUGAAGGAACUAGGCAACAUGGCACCGUAACUUCGGGAGAAGGUGCACCCUUUUUGGUGGCUCAUGCGAGCUAUAGCUGAAGAGGGUCGCAGAAACCAGGCCGCUGCGACUGUUUAUCAAAAACACAGCACUCUGCAAACACGAAAGUGGACGUAUAGGGUGUGACGCCUGCCCGGUGCUGGAAGGUUAAUUGAUGGGGUCAGCCGCAAGGCGAAGCUCUUGAUCGAAGCCCCAGUAAACGGCGGCCGUAACUAUAACGGUCCUAAGGUAGCGAAAUUCCUUGUCGGGUAAGUUCCGACCUGCACGAAUGGCGUAACGACAGCGGCGCUGUCUCCACCCGAGACUCAGUGAAAUUGAAAUCGCUGUGAAGAUGCAGCGUUCCCGUGGCAAGACGGAAAGACCCCGUGAACCUUUACUAUAGCUUUACACUGAACGUUGAGUUCGUCUGUGUAGGAUAGGUGGGAGGCUAUGAAACUGUGGCGCUAGCUGCAGUGGAGCCAUCCUUGAAAUACCACCCUGUCGUGCUUGACGUUCUAACCUAGAUCCGUUAUCCGGAUCAGGGACCGUGUAUGGUGGGUAGUUUGACUGGGGCGGUCUCCUCCUAAAGAGUAACGGAGGAGCACGAAGGUACGCUCAGCGCGGUCGGACAUCGCGCACUGUGUGCAAAGGCAUAAGCGUGCUUGACUGCAAGAUCGACGGAUCAAGCAGGUACGAAAGUAGGUCUUAGUGAUCCGGUGGUUCUGUAUGGAAGGGCCAUCGCUCAACGGAUAAAAGGUACUCCGGGGAUAACAGGCUGAUACCGCCCAAGAGUUCAUAUCGACGGCGGUGUUUGGCACCUCGAUGUCGGCUCAUCACAUCCUGGGGCUGUAGUCGGUCCCAAGGGUAUGGCUGUUCGCCAUUUAAAGUGGUACGCGAGCUGGGUUCAGAACGUCGUGAGACAGUUCGGUCCCUAUCUGCCAUGGGCGUUGGAAGUUUGAGAGGGGCUGCUCCUAGUACGAGAGGACCGGAGUGGACGAACCUCUGGUGUUCCGGUUGUCACGCCAGUGGCAUUGCCGGGUAGCUAUGUUCGGAAGCGAUAACCGCUGAAAGCAUCUAAGCGGGAAGCGCGCCUCAAGAUGAGACUUCCCGGGGCACAAGCCCCCUAAAGGAACCAUAUAGACUAUGUGGUUGAUAGGUCAGGUGUGUAAGUACAGCAAUGUAUUGAGCUAACUGAUACUAAUGAUCCGUGCGGCUUGACCAU
Molecule: ribosomal RNA, 2883 nt
Filed under: Xanthomonas hortorum
Lineage: Bacteria; Pseudomonadati; Pseudomonadota; Gammaproteobacteria; Lysobacterales; Lysobacteraceae
Also listed under: 4 other names
Description: 23S ribosomal RNA
Rfam family: Bacterial large subunit ribosomal RNA
Source: RNAcentral